Molecule: transfer RNA, 74 nt
Filed under: Kwoniella pini CBS 10737
Lineage: Eukaryota; Fungi; Basidiomycota; Tremellomycetes; Tremellales; Cryptococcaceae
Also listed under: 1 other name
Description: tRNA-Val (AAC) (tRNA-Val-AAC-1 1 to 3)
Source: RNAcentral
GGCACUGUGAUGGAGUUGGUUACCAUAUCUGUCUAACACACAGAAGGUCGCCAGUUCGAGCCUGGCCGGAGUCA